RNAcentral lists this ribosomal RNA (473 nucleotides) under uncultured bacterium. RNAcentral's name for it is "SSU rRNA". It matches the Rfam family "Bacterial small subunit ribosomal RNA", at positions 26 to 518 of the family's 1533-position model. The record is from RNAcentral.
AGGACGAACGCUGGCGGCGUGCUUAACACAUGCAAGUCGAGCGGAAAGGCCCUUCGGGGUACUCGAGCGGCGAACGGGUGAGUAACACGUGAGCAACCUGCCCUUAGCUCUGGGAUAGCUCCGGGAAACCGGAAUUAAUACCGGAUAUGACCUAGGCCGACAUCGGCCGUGGUGGAAAGUUUUUCGGCUAGGGAUGGACUCGCGGCCUAUCAGCUAGUUGGUGGGGUAAUGGCCUACCAAGGCGACGACGGGUAGCCGGCCUGAGAGGGCGACCGGCCACACUGGGACUGAGACACGGCCCAGACUCCUACGGGAGGCAGCAGUGGGGAAUCUUGCGCAAUGGGCGAAAGCCUGACGCAGCGACGCCGCGUGGGGGAUGAAGGCCUUCGGGUUGUAAACCCUUUCAGCAGGGACGAAGCGAAAGUGACGGUACCUGCAGAAGAAGCGCCGGCUAACUACGCGCCAGCAGCCGC